This is a long non-coding RNA of Suricata suricatta (meerkat), 481 nucleotides long. RefSeq lists it as uncharacterized. NCBI's taxonomy places the organism in Eukaryota, Metazoa, Chordata, Mammalia, Carnivora, Herpestidae. The record is from RefSeq and is a predicted model, not a curated record. The transcript is spliced from 3 exons.
UAGUAUUUGUAAAUCUGCAAACAUCCAAAGCCAAUGUCUCAUUUGCGGUUGGAGAGGAGCGAUCCUUAACCAGUAGGACUAUUUCAGGCUCUUUAACAGCUGUGAAGGCAAAAAAGAGAAAGGGAGUUGACAACAGCGUUCAGACUAUUCUGCUUACCUACAGCUCCAACUAUUCAAAAACAAAAGAACUAUAAAUUCGUCUUCUGCCCACACUCCUAACUGAUAUCUGUCUUCUCAAUUGGAUCCAGGAAGAAUAUGAUCUGGUCCCUGUCUCCUAGGAGUGGAGCCAGCUUUGCAAAUGCAUCAGUACAAAAAUAACAAGUGAGCUGUACGCGGGAGAUUCAGGAAGAAUUGAACACUCUUAAAGAUUACCACUCUGGAACCGGGUUUUAUGUGAACAUGUUGUCACAACCAAGGAAACAACCGUACCUUUUUGUAUAAUUAUUAUAAAUGCUCAUUGCACCCUGCUCAUAAUUAAAUU